This 1481-nucleotide ribosomal RNA is filed under the name metagenome. Its description in RNAcentral is "bacterial SSU rRNA". It matches the Rfam family "Bacterial small subunit ribosomal RNA". The record is from RNAcentral.
AGAGUUUGAUUCUGGCUCAGGAUGAACGCUAGCGGCAGGCCUAAUACAUGCAAGUCGAGGGGCAGCAGGGGUAGCAAUACUCGCUGGCGACCGGCGCACGGGUGCGUAACACGUAUGCAACUUUCCUUCAACUGGAAGAUAGCCCGAAGAAAUUCGGAUUAAUAUUCCAUAGUUAUAUGAAAUGGCAUCAUUUUAUAUUUAAAGCUCAGGCGGUUGAAGAUGGGCAUGCGUUCGAUUAGCUAGUUGGUGAGGUAAUGGCUCACCAAGGCUACGAUCGAUAGGGGAUCUGAGAGGAUUAACCCCCACACUGGUACUGAGACACGGACCAGACUCCUACGGGAGGCAGCAGUAAGGAAUAUUGGACAAUGGAGGCAACUCUGAUCCAGCCAUGCCGCGUGAAGGAUGAAGGUCCUAUGGAUUGUAAACUUCUUUUGAACGGGAGAAAACCUUCGGUCGUGUACCGAAGCUGAUAGUACCGUUAGAAUAAGGGUCGGCUAACUUCGUGCCAGCAGCCGCGGUAAUACGAAGGACCCGAGCGUUAUCCGGAUUUAUUGGGUUUAAAGGGCCGUAGGCGGAAUGGUAAGUCAGUGGUGAAAUCUUGUGGCUUAACUGCAAAACUGCCAUUGAUACUGCCAAUCUUGAGUACAUUUGAUGUGGGCGGAAUGUGCCAUGUAGUGGUGAAAUACUUAGAUAUGGCACAGAACACCGAUCGCGAAGGCAGCUCACAAAACUGUUACUGACGCUGAGGCUCGAAAGCGAGGGGAUCAAACAGGAUUAGAUACCCUGGUAGUCCACGCCUUAAACUAUGAUUACUCGAUGUGUGCGAUACACAGUACGCGUCUAAGCGAAAGCGUUAAGUAAUCCACCUGGGGAGUACGGUCGCAAGAUUGAAACUCAAAGAAAUUGACGGGGGCCCGCACAAGCGGAGGAGCAUGUGGUUUAAUUCGAUGAUACGCGAGGAACCUUACCUGGGCUUGAAAGUUAGUGAAUGCUGUGGAAACAUGGCAGGCCGCAAGGACACGAAACUAGGUGCUGCAUGGCUGUCGUCAGCUCGUGCCGUGAGGUGUUGGGUUAAGUCCCGCAACGAGCGCAACCCCUAUCUUUAGUUGCCAGCGAGUAAUGUCGGGGACUCUAAAGAAACUGCCCGUGCAAACGGUGAGGAAGGUGGGGAUGACGUCAAGUCAGCACGGCCCUUACGUCCAGGGCUACACACGUGCUACAAUGGCGAGUACAAAGGGCAGCUACAUGGUGACAUGAUGCUAAUCUCUAAAACUCGUCUCAGUUCGGAUUGAAGUCUGCAAUUCGACUUCAUGAAGCUGGAUUCGCUAGUAAUCGAAUAUCAGCAAUGAUUCGGUGAAUACGUUCCCGGGCCUUGUACACACCGCCCGUCAAACAAUGGAAGCUGAGGGUACUUAAAGUCGAUAACCGCAAGGAGUCGCCUAGGGUAAAAUCGGUAACUGGUGUUAAGUCGAAACAAGGUA